This 253-nucleotide ribosomal RNA is filed under the name uncultured bacterium. RNAcentral describes it as "partial 16S ribosomal RNA". It matches the Rfam family "Bacterial small subunit ribosomal RNA", at positions 524 to 776 of the family's 1533-position model. The record is from RNAcentral.
UACGUAGGGGGCAAGCGUUGUCCGGAAUCAUUGGGCGUAAAGCGCGUGUAGGCGGCUUGGUAAGUCCGUUCUGAAAGCCCGGGGCUCAACCCCGGGAGGCGGAUGGAUACUGUCAAGCUUGAGUCCGGAAGAGGCGAGUGGAAUUCCCGGUGUAGCGGUGAAAUGCGCAGAUAUCGGGAGGAACACCAAUGGCGAAGGCAGCGCGCUGGGACGUGACUGACGCUGAGACGCGAAAGCGUGGGGAGCAAACCGG